UUUUUUUUCUUCAUGUGUAACUCCGGAGUGACUCAGCUGACUUCAGUGAAUGCCCUGUGGAACUGUGCUAGCUGGAAACCAGCCUCACUCCUGCAAGGGAUGCAGCUACCUGUGCACGCUUCCAUAUCCGUACCACCGUGGAACUUUUUUUUGCUGCGACAUUGUAAUGGGAGGUGGAGACACCUCGAGGAGAAGGUCGAAACAGACAGCAGCAGUUGCAGGCAGUAAUGUCUGUCUAUGACUGGAGAAAAUCCGGCCCCAAUUACAGAAAUGUCAGGAAGACUCUCCAUGUUUCAGAUCUGUUUUGGUACAUUUUCACUUCAUGAUGCCGAGUACUGACGCUCUCAGGAGGUUGCAGAAAAAGGACAUAAAACCAUAAUAAGUUUUCAGAGAGAUUUGCUUGUUUAGCAUCGGAACAUGAAUUCGACAGGAGAGAUUUGGAUUCCAGUUCAAGUUUGUUUAUUAACUGCCCAAACUGAAUGAAAAACAACACUUCUCUGAGUACCGCUGGCCAGAACCUCCCGGCUCCAGGACUUGGGCUCUCUGUCACUCGUCUAUGAUGGAGGAGCAAAGGAGGCCCUGCUGCCCUGCCCCUCCCCUAACCUCCACUUCUGGGAACCUCCCUCUCCCCAUGAAUACCUCCAGUGUCUGCCACUGGUGCUGGGCAGCACUUUGCCAAUCAUCGUCCCCAGCAGGAAGUGGACAUGAUUUUGAUAGUGUCACUCUACCACACACGAGACGCUGAAUAGCAGCAAGAAAACUGAGCAGUUUUGUUAAUCUCGCUGGUGUUUGGCAACCUCUCAGCAGCAGCCACAGAGGCACUACAGCUGUCUGUCUGCAGCCCCAGGAAUACAAUGCUGCAUUAUUUUAUAUUUGGAGAUCAUCUUUCCAAUCAUAAGGUCUGGAAUGUUUUAUAUAUUUACUUCUCUGUGAGGAAAGCUUCCUACUGUCACUAAUCAACAGAUUUUUCAGGCUUGUGUGUUAUAGAGAUAAAUGCAUCGAUACUUCCAAAGGGCUUUGGGGUCCUGAGGUGGAAACUCAAAAUAUGACUUGUGUUUUGGAAAGGGCCUUGGAAUAAGUUACGUGGUACGGCGUGCCGUCACUCCCAGGGAUGCAGCUCCAACCACAUUCUCCAUCCAGCCCCUCCUGAAGAUUGCUUUUUCUCUUAUGUUCACAGAUGGUAGCUCACUUUGAUCCUGUUCUCUCUCCUCCAAUAUUGGUGGAAGAGAAUAAAAUAAUAAGCAUAAUGCAGAAGAUAUAUAUAUUUAUAGUGAAGUGUUUUAAUGCUGCCUCUGAGUGCUCUGCAUUAUCUGUUGUUUAUAAUGCACUUAAAAUUAUAACAGUCUGCUGGGAGUAAACCGAAGGAUGUUGUCCUUUUGUAUGCCCAGCACUGAUCUCUUGUUUCUUUUCUCCUUUCUGGAGUUUAAUUAGCACUGCUACUCUGCCUAAGUUGGCCAGUCAAUGGAGCAUGAAAGCCUGUGCCAGGUGACUUGCAAAACAUUAGUUCCCCACUUGAAGUAUUUGCCAUCCAACUCGGAGCAGGUGCCAGGAGGCAGCGCAGCAGCAGUGAGUUUGGGCAGUGAGGCAGGAGCAGCAGUGGCUUUCUGAUGGCCCAGAACUCACAGGGUAUGCAAGGGGAGGUGACUGCCACGUACUGCUGUGCUGCAACCAUGGCUGAGGUACAGCUCAGUCCCUGGGGUGGUCACUGAGCGUCUGGUUGUGAGCUCACUGAGUGCCAGGUGCGGGGCCAGAAGAUGAGAUAGUGCCACUGACUUCAGCUCAGGAAAUGGAGCGGGUGAAUGGUGGUUUGGCAGAGCUAGUGGGUGGAUGAAUUCAGCUCUCGGUUGCAGCCACAGCCUUUGGGAUGAGCCUAGGUAAUGAAAAAUACUAUUACGGGGGGCUAUUAAAACAAAGGUGUUCUGGUUCUCCUCCAGGAGGGAGGUGAGAUGUAUUGGCACAGGGAAAAGCAGUCGUUAAAGAAGAGGAAGAAUGGUCAUGUGAGGCUGGUGCUGACCUACAGCCGUUUGGCUGAGGAAGGCUCAUGCUGCGGUGCAGAGAUGGGUAGGAGAAUGUUUGGCAGCACCGUGGCACGGAGCAGGAACAGCCCAUCAGCCUGUGCCACCCCUGUCCCGAGAGAGGCUUUGUGUGCUGCUGUGUUCUGAUGUGUCACCACUGCUAACAAGCGCCCUUUCUCAGGGUGAUGCGCCGUGCAGGCAGGGCAGAGAGGCUCCGGUUCUCCUCUGACACCCAGCAUAUCAGUUGUUCCUCACUGGGCUCCUCCAUGCCAGCUCUCCCGAGCGGAGCGCAGGGCCCGCAGUACACGGGUGAACUUGCGAGACGCCGGAGCCUGGCACAGCUCUGUUGAUUUAUACGGGCGAGGAACUGCUGAGCGCCGGGGGCCGCUCCGCUCCACCCGCGGGGAAAGGCUCGGGCCGCGCCGAACCGCCGCUCCGGUGCUGCGAGCGGGGCCGUCCGGCAGCGGUUCGGGGUUCUGCCGGAGGAGCCGCCCGGACGGGCAGCGCCGAGC
Long non-coding RNA from Lagopus muta (rock ptarmigan), 2527 nucleotides. RefSeq lists it as uncharacterized. The record is from RefSeq and is a predicted model, not a curated record. Lineage: Eukaryota; Metazoa; Chordata; Aves; Galliformes; Phasianidae. The transcript is spliced from 4 exons.